This 380-nucleotide ribosomal RNA is filed under the name uncultured eukaryote. Its description in RNAcentral is "partial 18S ribosomal RNA". It matches the Rfam family "Eukaryotic small subunit ribosomal RNA", at positions 592 to 976 of the family's 1831-position model. The record is from RNAcentral.
CAAUAGCGUAUAUUAAAGUUGUUGCGGUUAAAAAGCUCGUAGUUGGAGUUCUGCCAGGUGCCGCCUGUCCGCCCCAGUGGUGAGUACGUGGCGCGCAUUUGGCCCUUUCAAGGGGAGCGUAUCUGCACUUUAUUGUGUGGUGCGGGAUCCUUGACUUUUACUUUGAGGAAAUAGGAGUGUUCCAAGCAGGCUCUCGUCGUGCACAGCUCAGCAUGGAAUAAUAGCAUUGGACCUCGAUUCUAAGCUGUUGGUUGCCAGAAGCGAGGUAAUGAUGAAGAGGGAUAGUUGGGGGCAUUCGUAUUUAACUGUCAGAGGUGAAAUUCUUGGAUUUGUUAAAGACGGACUACUGCGAAGGCAUCUGCCAUGGAUGUUUUCAUUGA